UUACGGCCAUAUCACAUUGUAAACCGGUUCUCAUACGAUCACUGACGUUAAGCAAUGUCGACCCUGGUAAGUAUCUAGUUAGGUGACCGCUUGUGAAUAACAGGUGUU
This is a non-coding RNA of Acanthosepion pharaonis, 108 nucleotides long. Lineage: Eukaryota; Metazoa; Mollusca; Cephalopoda; Sepiida; Sepiidae. The record is from the annotation of a GenBank genome assembly.